Molecule: transfer RNA, 77 nt
Filed under: bacterium
Lineage: Bacteria
Also listed under: 1 other name
Description: tRNA-Met
Rfam family: tRNA
About the family: Transfer RNA (tRNA) molecules are approximately 80 nucleotides in length. Their secondary structure includes four short double-helical elements and three loops (D, anti-codon, and T loops).
Source: RNAcentral
UGCGGGGUGGAGCAGUCUGGUAGCUCGUCGGGCUCAUAACCCGGAGGUCGCUGGUUCAAAUCCGGCCCCCGCACCCA